GCGCAGUCUAGCCAAGGCGGACGGGUGAGUAACGCGUAAGGAACUCGCCCUGCAGACAGGGAUAACAGACGGAAACGACUGAUAACACCUGGUAUUGUCAGGCUGGCGCAUGCCGGUCUGAUGAAAGGAGACGCUGCAGGAGAGCCUUGCGUCCUAUUAGCUAGUUGGUGGGGUAACGGCCCACCAAGGCGAUGAUAGGUAGCCGGCCUGAGAGGGUGAACGGCCACAAGGGGACUGAGAUACGGCCCUUACUCCUACGGGAGGCAGCAGUGGGGAAUAUUGGACAAUGGGGGCAACCCUGAUCCAGCAAUUCUGUGUGCACGAAGAAGGUUUUCGGAUUGUAAAGUGCUUUCAGCAGGGAAGAAGAAAGUGACGGUACCUGCAGAAGAAGCGACGGCUAAAUACGUGCCAGCAGCCGCGGUAAUACGUAUGUCGCAAGCGUUAUCCGGAAUUAUUGGGCAUAAAGGGCAUCUAGGCGGCCCUGUAAGUCUAGGGUGAAAACCUGCGGCUCAACCGCAGGCCUGCCCCGGAAACUACAGGGCUAGAGUAUCGGAGAGGUGGACGGAACUGCACGAGUAGAGGUGAAAUUCGUAGAUAUGUGCAGGAAUGCCGAUGAUGUAGAUAGUUCACUGGACGGUAACUGACGCUGAAGUGCGAAAGCUAGGGGAGCAAACAGGAUUAGAUACCCUGGUAGUCCUAGCUGUAAACGAUGAUUACUGGGUGUGG
This 726-nucleotide ribosomal RNA is filed under the name uncultured Leptotrichia sp. Its description in RNAcentral is "bacterial SSU rRNA". It matches the Rfam family "Bacterial small subunit ribosomal RNA", at positions 82 to 825 of the family's 1533-position model. Lineage: Bacteria; Fusobacteriati; Fusobacteriota; Fusobacteriia; Fusobacteriales; Leptotrichiaceae. The record is from RNAcentral.